GGAGUGUAGAGUGACUGUGAUGUGGUGGAGAGAACAUGACAGACUGUGACAUCACCAUUCCAUUUUCAAAAGAUAUCCUAGUAUGGUGGAUAGCCUGCCACUAAUUAAUGCAACCCAAUUAAUGGGUUAAUAUUUCAUGGCCCAUGAUGAUGGCUGGCUAAUAAGCUGAUUUAGGUUCCCAAGAGCCAUGCUCUUGGAUUCAUGUGCUGAACUGGGUCCACCUUUAGACAGAACGACCCGAUGGAAUCGUGCCACUGUAGGAGACCAGGCCAUCAUCAAAACGCAAUUUGCAGCAAAUUGUCCCUUUGUGUUUGAAGGACAGCGUCUGUCAGGACACAACCACUGACGGGGGCUCUGUGCGCAUGAUGCACACAGGACGCAUUGGAGAUACCACUGGGGCAAGCCACACUCUCUCCAGCUUCAGCCUCCUCACCAGGCACCUCCUCACCACCAACUGCACUCAUCAACCCUGGAAAUAAAUAAAUAAGUGAAUAAAUACAA
This is a long non-coding RNA of Siniperca chuatsi (mandarin fish), 501 nucleotides long. RefSeq lists it as uncharacterized. The transcript is spliced from 2 exons. The record is from RefSeq and is a predicted model, not a curated record. NCBI's taxonomy places the organism in Eukaryota, Metazoa, Chordata, Actinopteri, Centrarchiformes, Sinipercidae.